UACGGGAAGGCAGCAGUGGGGAAUAUUGCACAAUGGGCGCAAGCCUGAUGCAGCCAUGCCGCGUGUAUGAAGAAGGCCUUCGGGUUGUAAAGUACUUUCAGUCGUGAGGAAGGUGUUAAGGUUAAUAACCUUAGCAAUUGACGUUAGCGACAGAAGAAGCACCGGCUAACUCCGUGCCAGCAGCCGCGGUAAUACGGAGGGUGCGAGCGUUAAUCGGAAUUACUGGGCGUAAAGGGCACGCAGGCGGUUAAUUAAGUUGGAUGUGAAAUCCCCGGGCUUAACCUGGGAAUGGCAUUCAAGACUGGUUAGCUAGAGUCUUGUAGAGGGGGUAGAAUUCCAUGUGUAGCGGUGAAAUGCGUAGAGAUGUGGAGGAAUACCGGUGGCGAAGGCGGCCCCUGGACAAAAGACUGACGCUCAUGUGCGAAAGCGUGGGGAGCAAACAGGGAUUAGAUACC
Molecule: ribosomal RNA, 455 nt
Filed under: uncultured bacterium
Lineage: Bacteria
Description: bacterial SSU rRNA
Rfam family: Bacterial small subunit ribosomal RNA
Source: RNAcentral